UCAUUUUCGAUCAGUCUUACAAUCUUCGAAAUUACGCGGGAUUGGGAUAAGGGUGUUUUCAUUGUUGGUUCAAGGAUAAUAAAAUAGGGUUUGUGUUGAAUUUUUGUAACGCCUGAGGAACCGCAACUGUUUUGCCAGGAAGUUUAAUUAUAUAGAUACAGAACAGUGAUCGUCGACCUACGUCAAGAAAGCUACAUCAGAUCUGACUAGUUCUGACUUAUUGUUAGGCAAUAGUGAGGAAGUGGCGAUUACAAAAAGGUUAGAGACUGAGGCUUGACUCAACAAUUUUCUUGCGUGACGCUAGGGAUUUUCAUGCUAUCGUAUUGAAGCAGGCAGGGUGGACAGCCGAUUAAACAGCUGAUGUUCCACGGACACCGGCGAAAUGUCAAGAUCUAGACAAAUCACUCUACGCGUGCAGUCGCCAGAGGGAACAAAACGCUUGGACGUCAUUCCCUCUGAUACAGUUUCUGGCCUCUAUGAAAAGGUUUACGAAGCCUUUGAUCUCAGCAGCUUCAGCUUUGGUCUUUUUAAACAAAGAAAUCGUAAAGAUGAGAUUAUUUCCUCUAGAGCUAGAACAGUUACAGAUGUUGGAUUAUCUCAUGGUGAUAUGGUAUAUCUUGUACCACUCGAUGGAAAUCUGCAGUGGGGUGCACCCUCUACCAGUGGUGCCUCCUCCAAUGCUUCCUCAGGAGAAUCUACUUCGAUGGAAGUUGUACCCAGCACUAGCCAAGGAUCUCAAGGACAAUUCCCCAUAUCAGCUUUUCGCUCAUCCUCGAACGUUGUCGAAGACGAUGUAGAUCAGCAACUGUGGAAACUAGAUGGCCAAAUCCAACGAAAACGUGAUGAGAAAUUCUGUCGACAUGGCUCCAAUGCAUGCUGUGUCCAUUGCUCCCCACUGGAACCUUUCGAUGAGGCUUACCUUAAGGAUCAGACUAUCAAACACCUCUCGUUUCAUUCAUACCUCAGGAAACUCACUGCUGGAGUGGACAGAGGAAAGUUCCUACAAUUAGACGACAUAAGCUGCCGCAUAAAGACAGGCUGCAAAGAUCAUCCUCCUUGGCCACGUGGAAUCUGUAGCAAGUGUCAACCGAACGCGAUCACCUUGAACAGACAACCAUAUCGUCACGUCGACAACGUCGUCUUCGAGAACGCCGGUCUGGUCGAACGUUUUUUAAACUAUUGGCGUAGCACUGGCCACCAGCGUAUCGGUUAUCUCUAUGGUAGAUAUGAGAUACACUCGGACGUACCCCUUGGAAUUAGAGCGGUGGUUUCUGCUAUAUACGAGCCUCCCCAGGAAAGUACAAGGGAUACUGUCGUCCUAUUACAGGAUGACAAGGAAACUCUGGUAGAUGAAUUAGCGAGGUCCCUGGACAUACGGAGAGUCGGUUGGAUAUUCACCGACCUCAUCGCCGACGACGUCAAGAAGGGCACUGUUAAACACGUUAGGAAUAUAGAUAGUCAUUUCCUAUCCGCACAAGAAUGCAUCAUGGCCGGACACUUUCAAAAUCAGCAUCCAAACCCCUGCCGUUUUUCCCCCAGCGGUAUCUUCGGCUCAAAAUUCGUUACCGUCUGUGUGACCGGGGACGACAAAAAUCAAGUACACAUGGAGGGCUACCAGGUAUCUAACCAGUGCAUGGCAUUAGUACGAGACGGUUGCCUGGUACCAACUAAGGAUGCACCCGAGCUCGGUUACGUGAUCGAAUCCAGCGACAAGCAAUACGUCCCCGACGUUUACUACAAGGAAAAGGAUAACUAUGGUAAUGAAGUUUCGAGAUUGGCACGGCCAUUACCUGUGGAAUAUCUACUUGUGGACGUACCUGCUUCCACUCCACUCACACCACAAUUCACUUUUUAUGCUAGCGAUGAAAUUACUCCCUUUCCUGUUGAGAAUAGGCUAGUAGAUGGACAGGUUCAAGUUUUUAAUUCUCUUUGCACCUAUAUGCAGCAGUUUAGUCCUGAUCAAUUUCUUGAAGCAAUGUCAGAUUUUCAUCUGUUGCUUUUUAUCGCUACUAUGGAUAUGCUCCCCAUGAAGGACCACAUGGCGCCAUUAUUAGAAGCUAUUCGUACACGCAACAAAGAAAAGGCUCUAGAGUGGGCACGUUCUGAACAUUGGGCUACUGUUGAGCAGCUAAUAUUCGCAACGACGGCGGCAUCGCCACGUUCGUCGCGUACCCCAGGCGUCGCGUUUGCCCUUGGCUCUGGUCUUCCUUCUAGUAAUGGCGGUUCCUCCAGUGGAUCCGUUUCUUCAUCGGCCGCAGGCGGAAGCGGAAACGUCGGUGCCGGCCAAUCAGUAGUUAAUACGGCUACUGAACAGCCGCUCUGGACCUGUCCACACUGCACGUUUCUCAAUCCCGCAGAUCUGGCCUCUUGCGAAAUGUGCAAUUUGCCGAGGUAUCUUUGACCUAUACUGUGAUCUUGUAAUCCAAUCACAAGUCGUCACCAAGUAUUUAAGGAUUUGAUGUAUGCUGUGACACCGCGGAAUGACAAUUAUUUUCUACUUUUGACCUUAUUUAUGAAUAAAUGAAAGUGUCUGGUCAAUUGUUCAACUUUUUUACUUAACAAUAUACUUUAAACGAUUCUUCAAAACAGGCAAUAAUAUCAGCCACAAGGUUUAGAUGCCUAUCACUGAAGUUGAUGGUAUCUCGCAACAAUGGCGCUAUUCGUAGCGAGUGAUUUUCAAAUGUUAUGUAUGCAUAUAGCGUUCUUUUUGAAACCAGAUUGUUCUCAUGCGUCGUGUCACUGCCGAAUUAAAAUUAUUUGCAUUUGAGGAAGGAAAAAAGAUAUAAUGCCAAAUGUAAUUAGGAGGUGUAUCCGCCAUCCACAUAAUAUCCGUCUUCACAAGCAAUGCUAUCAUCUUGUGAGAAAACUCGACAAAAUGAAAAAUUAUGAAUAAACAUAGUCAACCAA
Molecule: RNA transcript, 2907 nt
Organism: Cephus cinctus (wheat stem sawfly)
Lineage: Eukaryota; Metazoa; Arthropoda; Insecta; Hymenoptera; Cephidae
Gene: Npl4
Gene name: nuclear protein localization protein 4 homolog
Exons: 13
Source: RefSeq, a predicted model, not a curated record